CAUGUGGUUUAAUUCGAUGCAACGCGAAGAACCUUACCUGGGCUUGACAUCCCGAGAAUCCCCUGGAAACAGGGAGUGCCUUUCGGGGAACUCGGAGACAGGUGCUGCAUGGCUGUCGUCAGCUCGUGUCGUGAGAUGUUGGGUUAAGUCCCGCAACGAGCGCAACCCUUGUCCUUAAUUGCCAGCAUUCAGUUGGGCACUUUAAAGAGACUGCCGGUGUUAAGCCGGAGGAAGGUGGGGAUGACGUCAAGUCCUCAUGGCCUUUAUGCCCAGGGCUACACACGUGCUACAAUGGGUGGUACAAAGAGAUGCCAACUCGCGAGAGCGCGCCAAUCUCAGAAAGCCAUCCUCAGUUCGGAUUGUGGGCUGCAACUCGCCCGCAUGAAGUUGGAUUCGCUAGUAAUCGUGGAUCAGCCAUGCCACGGUGAAUACGUUCUCGGGUCUU
Molecule: ribosomal RNA, 445 nt
Filed under: uncultured Syntrophus sp.
Lineage: Bacteria; Pseudomonadati; Thermodesulfobacteriota; Syntrophia; Syntrophales; Syntrophaceae
Description: bacterial SSU rRNA
Rfam family: Bacterial small subunit ribosomal RNA
Source: RNAcentral